RNAcentral lists this transfer RNA (84 nucleotides) under Candidatus Prevotella equi. RNAcentral's name for it is "tRNA-Tyr". It matches the Rfam family "tRNA". From Rfam's summary of the family: Transfer RNA (tRNA) molecules are approximately 80 nucleotides in length. The record is from RNAcentral. Lineage: Bacteria; Pseudomonadati; Bacteroidota; Bacteroidia; Bacteroidales; Prevotellaceae.
CGGUUUUGAGAUAGCUCAGUUAGUUAGAGCGUCGGAUAUUGUAACUCCGAAGGUCGUUGGUGCAAAUCCAACUCUCAUCACCCA